Molecule: small nuclear RNA, 106 nt
Organism: Peromyscus eremicus (cactus mouse)
Lineage: Eukaryota; Metazoa; Chordata; Mammalia; Rodentia; Cricetidae
Source: RefSeq, a predicted model, not a curated record
GUGUCGCUUCAGCAGCACACAUACUGAAGCUGGAAGGACACAGAGAAGGUUAGCACGGCCCCAGUACGAGGAUGACACACAACUGUGCGAAGCUUUCCAUACUGAA